GAUGAACGCUGGCGGCGUGCCUAAUACAUGCAAGUCGAGCGAACACACAAGGAGAUCUUUCCUCUGCGGUUAGCGGCUGACGGGCGAGUAACAAGUGCAUCGCAAUCCUCUUUGACUUGGAUAACUUCGGGAAAACGCUGCUAAUACUACCUAAUAUAACCUACCGCUUAGUUCAAUAGUGAUAGACGCCUUUCCCGUUUCUUUUAGAUGGUUUCGCGUCGCAUUAGCUAGUUGGUAAAGUAACGGCUUACCAAGGCAACGUAGCGUAGCCGACCUGAGAGGGUGAUCGGCCACACUGGAACUGAGACACGGUCCAGACUCCUACGGGAGGCAGCAGUGGGGAAUCUUCCACAAUGGGCGAAAGCCUGACGGAGCAACACCGCGUGGGUGAUGAAGGCCUUCGGGUCGUAAAACUCUUUUAUUAGGAAAGAAAAGAUGUGUAAGUAACUACGCACGUCUUGACGGUACCUAAACAGAAAGCCACGGCUAACUACGUG
This 497-nucleotide ribosomal RNA is filed under the name uncultured bacterium. Its description in RNAcentral is "partial 16S ribosomal RNA". It matches the Rfam family "Bacterial small subunit ribosomal RNA", at positions 28 to 507 of the family's 1533-position model. The record is from RNAcentral.